Molecule: ribosomal RNA, 497 nt
Filed under: uncultured bacterium
Lineage: Bacteria
Description: partial 16S ribosomal RNA
Rfam family: Bacterial small subunit ribosomal RNA
Source: RNAcentral
GAUGAACGCUGGCGGCGUGCCUAAUACAUGCAAGUCGAGCGAACAGACGAGGAGCUUGCUCCUCUGACGUUAGCGGCGGACGGGUGAGUAACACGUGGAUAACCUACCUAUAAGACUGGGAUAACUUCGGGAAACCGGAGCUAAUACCGGAUAAUAUAUUGAACCGCAUGGUUCAAUAGUGAAAGACGGUUUUGCUGUCACUUAUAGAUGGAUCCGCGCCGCAUUAGCUAGUUGGUAAGGUAACGGCUUACCAAGGCGACGAUGCGUAGCCGACCUGAGAGGGUGAUCGGCCACACUGGAACUGGGACACGGUCCAGACUCCUACGGGAGGCAGCAGUAGGGAAUCUUCCGCAAUGGGCGGAAGCCUGACGGAGCAGCGCCGCGUGAGUGAUGAAGGUCUUCGGAUCGUAAAACUCUGUUAUUAGGGAAGAACAAAUGUGUAAGUAACUGUGCACGUCUUGACGGUACCUGAUCAGAAAGCCACGGCUAACUACGUG